This 307-nucleotide ribosomal RNA is filed under the name uncultured bacterium. RNAcentral describes it as "bacterial SSU rRNA". It matches the Rfam family "Bacterial small subunit ribosomal RNA", at positions 30 to 334 of the family's 1533-position model. The record is from RNAcentral.
AUUGAACGCUGGCGGCAGGCCUAACACAUGCAAGUCGAGCGGUAGCACAGAGAGCUUGCUCUCGGGUGACGAGCGGCGGACGGGUGAGUAAUGUCUGGGAAACUGCCUGAUGGAGGGGGAUAACUACUGGAAACGGUAGCUAAUACCGCAUAACGUCGCAAGACCAAAGUGGGGACCUUCGGGCCUCAUGCCAUCAGAUGUGCCCAGAUGGGAUUAGCUAGUAGGUGGGGUAACGGCUCACCUAGGCGACGAUCCCUAGCUGGUCUGAGAGGAUGACCAGCCACACUGGAACUGAGACACGGUCCAG